GAGCUCAUAGUUCAAUUGGUAGAACAUAUCGCUCAUAACGGUAAUUGUAUAGGUUCGAUCCCUAUUGGGCUUA
This is a non-coding RNA of Cafeteria roenbergensis, 73 nucleotides long. NCBI's taxonomy places the organism in Eukaryota, Bigyra, Bicosoecida, Cafeteriaceae. The record is from the annotation of a GenBank genome assembly.